RNAcentral lists this ribosomal RNA (2038 nucleotides) under human gut metagenome. RNAcentral's name for it is "bacterial LSU rRNA". It matches the Rfam family "Bacterial large subunit ribosomal RNA", at positions 238 to 2297 of the family's 2925-position model. The record is from RNAcentral.
CCUAAGUAGCGGCGAGCGAACGGGAAAGAGGCCAAACCGAAGGGCUUGCUCUUCGGGGUUGUGGAUCAGCGAUAAGGACGGAAGACCUUAGCAGAAGAGGAUUGGAAAGUCCCGCCAGAGAGGGUAAAAGCCCCUUACGCGAAAAGGUCAAACGACGAGCUGACACCAGAGUACCGCAGGACACGAGAAAUCCGGUGGGAAGCCGGGAGGACCACCUCCCAAGCCUAAAUACGAAUUGGUGACCGAUAGCGCAUAGUACCGUGAGGGAAAGGUGAAAAGAACCCCGGGAGGGGAGUGAAAAAGAACCUGAAACCCUGUGUUUACAAGCAGUGAAAGUGCAAGAAAGGCACGAUCACGUACUUUUUGUAGAACGGACCGGCGAGUUACGUUAUGCAGCAAGGUUAAGAACUGAAGGUUCGGAGCCGAAGCGAAAGCGAGUCUGAAUAGGGCGAUAGUUGCAUGACGUAGACCCGAAACCGGGUGACCUAUCCAUGAGCAGGUUGAAGUGGAGGUAAAGCUCCAUGGAGGACCGAACCAGACGUCUGUUGAAAAAGGCGGGGAUGACUUGUGGAUAGGGGAGAAAUUCCAAUCGAACCCGGAGAUAGCUGGUUCUCCUCGAAAUAGCUUUAGGGCUAGCCUCAUGGAUCAUUGGUGGGGGUAGAGCACUGAAUGUGCGCGGGGGCCACAAAGCCUACCAAACGCUAUCAAACUUCGAAUACCAUACAAUGCAGACCAUGGGAGUCAGUCCGCGAGAGAUAAGUUCCGCGGGCAAAAGGGGAACACCCCAGAUCAACCGCUAAGGUCCCCAAGUUCACGUUAAGUGGAGAAGGAUGUGGAAUUGCACAGACAACCAGGAUGUUGGCUCAGAAGCAGCCACACAUUUAAAGAGUGCGUAAUAGCUCACUGGUCGAGUGAUUGUGCGCCGAAGAUGUCCGGGGCUAAACGUGACACCGAAGCGAUGGGUGCAUCUGAAGAAGAUGCGCGGUAGAGGAGCAAUGUGCAGAGGCAGAAGCCGUAUCGAGAGGCACGGUGGACACUGCACAAGAGAGAAUGCCGGUAUGAGUAGCGAGAGGCAUGCGAGAAACAUGCCCGUCGAAAGCCCAAGGUUUCCUGGGGAAGGUUCAUCCGCCCAGGGUAAGUCGGGGCCUAAGCCGAGGACGGAAGUCGUAGGCGAUGGACAGCAGGUGUAGAUUCCUGCACUACCGAUGGAAUGAAGCAGUGACACAGAAGGAUAACUCGAGCAGGGUGAUGGUCAACCCUGUGCAAGCAUCAAGGUUAGGUUGUAGUGAAGUACGCAACCCUAUAAGCUGAGAUGUGAUGCGGACCGAAAUUUCAGUAGGGAAGCGAGUGAGUUCACGCUGGCGAGAAAAGCUGCUAGUACAUCCAAAGGUACCCGUACCGGAAACCGACGCAGGUGGGCGAGGAGAGAAUCCUGAGACGAACGGGAGAACCCUUGUUAAGGAACUCGGCAAAAUGACCCCGUAACUUCGGGAUAAGGGGUGCCUGCGAGAGCAGGCCGCAGAGAAUAGUCACAAGCGACUGUUUAGCAAAAACACAGGUAUCUGCGAAAGCGAGAGCUGACGUAUAGGUGCUGACACCUGCCCGGUGCUGGAAGGUUAAGGGAACAUGUUAGAGCAAUCGAAGCAUCGAACCGAAGCCCCAGUAAACGGCGGCCGUAACUAUAACGGUCCUAAGGUAGCGAAAUUCCUUGUCGGGUAAGUUCCGACCCGCACGAAUGGUGUAACGACUUGUGAGCUGUCUCAACAGGGGGCCCGGUGAAAUUGAAGUAUGGGUGAAGAUGCCCAUUACCCGCGACUGGACGGAAAGACCCCGUAGAGCUUUACUGCAGCCUGAUAUUGAGUUUCGGUAACUGAUGCACAGGAUAGGUGGGAGUCUGAGAGACACGGGUUUCGGCUCGUGUGGAGACGGUGUUGGGAUACCACUCUUCGGUUACUGAAAUUCUAACAUAGCUCUGUGAAACCAGAGGAUGGACAGUGUCAGGUGGACAGUUUGACUGGGGCGGUCGCCUCCGAAAGAG